CAUCAGCGCUGUACCCGAGCCAGCAAUGCACGUGUACUCAGAGACGGAAUUCCUGGUGACGCGGGCAUUGCUGCUUGGUUCAGGUCAUUGCACACACACA
Gallus gallus (chicken) is the source of this 100-nucleotide microRNA precursor. The record is from Ensembl. Lineage: Eukaryota; Metazoa; Chordata; Aves; Galliformes; Phasianidae.